GACGAACGCUGGCGGCGUGCUUAACACAUGCAAGUCGAACGGAAGGGCCCCUUUGGGGGUACUCGAGUGGCGAACGGGUGCGUAACACGUGAGUAACCUGCCCUUGACUUCGGGAUAACUUCAGGAAACUGGGGCUAAUACCGGAUAGGAAUCCUUGCUGCAUGGUGGGGGUUGGAAAGCUUCGGCGGUUUUGGAUGGACUCGCGGCUUAUCGGCUUGUUGGUGGGGUAGUGGCUUACCAAGGCUUUUACGGGUAGCCGGCCUGAGAGGGCGACCGGCCACAUUGGGACUGAGAUAAGGCCCAGACUCCGACGGGAGGCAGCAGGGGGGAAUAUUGCACGAUGGGCGGAGGCCUGAUGCAGAAACGCCGCGGGCGGGAUGACGGCCUUCGGGUUGUAAACCGCAUUCAGCAGGGGCGAAGCUUGUGGUGACGGUACCUGCAGAAGAAGCACCGGCUAACUACGUG
This 465-nucleotide ribosomal RNA is filed under the name uncultured bacterium. RNAcentral describes it as "partial 16S ribosomal RNA". It matches the Rfam family "Bacterial small subunit ribosomal RNA", at positions 28 to 507 of the family's 1533-position model. The record is from RNAcentral.